GAUGCUUGUUGAUAAAUGUCUUGGUAUUGCGUUAGUCAACCAAUUUAAUGUCAAUGAGGUCUGUAAGUGUUUCAUCCACUGGGGAACUGGAACAGUUAAUCUGGAGCUGUGGUCUGAAGAUAGGCCUGUUUCAAGGCACUCUCCUCUCAUAAUUUCCCAUCAAUAUGAAGUUAGAGGAACCUCUUAGUUGCUUGUAUUAUCAAUUGUACUUGUAAAACUUCUGUCAGAAUAAGCUGUGUGCUAUAACACUAUGCAACUUGGAAUUCUAUUAUACAACCAGAAACUACUAAGUAUGUGUGUGGAACUUUUGGGGAUUACCCAAAGAGAUUGCUUUAUCUACAAACA
This 345-nucleotide unclassified non-coding RNA is filed under the name Hevea brasiliensis (rubber tree). Lineage: Eukaryota; Viridiplantae; Streptophyta; Magnoliopsida; Malpighiales; Euphorbiaceae. The record is from RNAcentral.